Molecule: transfer RNA, 74 nt
Filed under: Candidatus Omnitrophota bacterium
Lineage: Bacteria; Pseudomonadati; Candidatus Omnitrophota
Description: Candidatus Omnitrophica bacterium tRNA-Glu
Rfam family: tRNA
About the family: Transfer RNA (tRNA) molecules are approximately 80 nucleotides in length.
Source: RNAcentral
GACCCCAUCGUCCAGCCUGGUUAGGACACAAGCUUUUCAAGCUUGCGACGCGGGUUCAAAUCCCGCUGGGGUCG